AAAGGAAUAGACGGGGACCCGCACAAGUAGCGGAGCAUGUGGUUUAAUUCGAAGCAACGCGAAGAACCUUACCUAAGCUUGACAUGGGGAUGAAAAGUACUGUAAAAGUAUAAUACACUUCGGUGACAUCCCACACAGGUGGUGCAUGGUUGUCGUCAGCUCGUGUCGUGAGAUGUUGGGUUAAGUCCCGCAACGAGCGCAACCCCUAUUACUAGUUGCCAUCAUUAAGUUGGGCACUCUAGAAAGACAGUUAGGGAUAACCUAAAGGAAGGUGGGGAUGACGUCAAAUCAUCAUGCCCCUUAUGCUUAGGGCUACACACGUGCUACAAUGGCUAUAACAAACAGAAGCGAAAUCGUGAGAUCAAGCAAACCUGAGAAAAAUAGUCCAAGUUCGGAUUGCAGGCUGAAACCCGCCUACAUGAAGCCGGAGUUACUAGUAAUCGCGAAUCAGAAUGUCGCGGUGAAUGCGUUCCCGGGUCUUGUACACACCGCCCGU
This 496-nucleotide ribosomal RNA is filed under the name uncultured bacterium. RNAcentral describes it as "bacterial SSU rRNA". It matches the Rfam family "Bacterial small subunit ribosomal RNA", at positions 903 to 1397 of the family's 1533-position model. The record is from RNAcentral.